AUUGAACGCUGGCGGCAUGCCUUACACAUGCAAGUCGAACGGUAACCGGUCUUCGGAUGCUGACGAGUGGCGAACGGGUGAGUAAUACAUCGGAACGUGCCCGAUCGUGGGGGAUAACGGAGCGAAAGCUUUGCUAAUACCGCAUACGAUCUACGGAUGAAAGCAGGGGACCGCAAGGCCUUGCGCGGACGGAGCGGCCGAUGGCAGAUUAGGUAGUUGGUGGGAUAAAAGCUUACCAAGCCGACGAUCUGUAGCUGGUCUGAGAGGACGACCAGCCACACUGGGACUGAGACACGGCCCAGACUCCUACGGGAGGCAGCAGUGGGGAAUUUUGGACAAUGGGCGAAAGCCUGAUCCAGCCAUGCCGCGUGCAGGAUGAAGGCCUUCGGGUUGUAAACUGCUUUUGUACGGAACGAAAAGACUCUUUCUAAUAAAGAGGGUCCAUGACGGUACCGUAAGAAUAAGCACCGGCUAACUACGUG
Molecule: ribosomal RNA, 482 nt
Filed under: uncultured bacterium
Lineage: Bacteria
Description: partial 16S ribosomal RNA
Rfam family: Bacterial small subunit ribosomal RNA
Source: RNAcentral